GUGGGGAAUCUUCCACAAUGGACGAAAGUCUGAUGGAGCAACGCCGCGUGAGUGAAGAAGGGUUUCGGCUCGUAAAGCUCUGUUGUCGGGGACGAAUGUGCAGUAUUUGAAUAAAGUACUGCAAUGACGGUACCUGACGAGGAAGCCACGGCUAACUACGUGCCAGCAGCCGCGGUAAUACGUAGGUGGCAAGCGUUGUCCGGAAUUAUUGGGCGUAAAGGGAGCGCAGGCGGGAAGGUAAGUCGGUCUUAAAAGUGCGGGGCUCAACCCCGUGAUGGGAUCGAAACUAUCUUUCUUGAGUGCAGGAGAGGAAAGUGGAAUUCCUAGUGUAGCGGUGAAAUGCGUAGAUAUUAGGAGGAACACCAGUGGCGAAGGCGACUUUCUGGACUGUAACUGACGCUGAGGCUCGAAAGCCAGGGGAGCGAACGGGAUUAGAAACCCUUGUAGUCC
RNAcentral lists this ribosomal RNA (450 nucleotides) under uncultured bacterium. RNAcentral's name for it is "partial 16S ribosomal RNA". It matches the Rfam family "Bacterial small subunit ribosomal RNA", at positions 354 to 796 of the family's 1533-position model. The record is from RNAcentral.